GACAGAGGGUGCAAACGUUGUUCGGAAUUACUGGGCGUAAAGCGCGUGUAGGCGGCUAUCUAAGUCGGGCGUGAAAUCCCAUGGCUCAACCAUGGAAGUGCACCCGAAACUGGGCAGCUAGAGUCCUGGAGAGGAAGGUGGAAUGCUUGGUGUAGAGGUGAAAUUCGUAGAUAUCAAGCGGAACACCGGUGGCGAAGGCGGCCUUCUGGACAGUGACUGACGCUGAGACGCGAAAGCGGGGGGAGCAAACAAG
RNAcentral lists this ribosomal RNA (253 nucleotides) under uncultured bacterium. RNAcentral describes it as "partial 16S ribosomal RNA". It matches the Rfam family "Bacterial small subunit ribosomal RNA", at positions 524 to 776 of the family's 1533-position model. The record is from RNAcentral.